AUUGAACGCUGGCGGCAUGCCUUACACAUGCAAGUCGAACGGUAACAGGUCUUCGGAUGCUGACGAGUGGCGAACGGGUGAGUAAUGCAUCGGAACGUGCCCAUUUGUGGGGGAUAACUACGCGAAAGCGUGGCUAAUACCGCAUACGCCCUGAGGGGGAAAGCGGGGGAUUCUUCGGAACCUCGCGCAAUUGGAGCGGCCGAUGUCAGAUUAGCUUGUUGGUGAGGUAAAGGCUCACCAAGGCGACGAUCUGUAGCGGGUCUGAGAGGAUGAUCCGCCACACUGGGACUGAGACACGGCCCAGACUCCUACGGGAGGCAGCAGUGGGGAAUUUUGGACAAUGGGGGCAACCCUGAUCCAGCCAUGCCGCGUGAGUGAAGAAGGCCUUCGGGUUGUAAGCUCUUCGGUGGGAAGAAUUGCACGGGCUAAUAAUCCUGUGUAGAUGACGGUACCCGACUAAGAAGCACCGGCUAACUACGUGCCAGCAGCCGG
Molecule: ribosomal RNA, 492 nt
Filed under: uncultured bacterium
Lineage: Bacteria
Description: bacterial SSU rRNA
Rfam family: Bacterial small subunit ribosomal RNA
Source: RNAcentral